This 24-nucleotide non-coding RNA is filed under the name Arabidopsis thaliana (thale cress). The record is from RNAcentral. Lineage: Eukaryota; Viridiplantae; Streptophyta; Magnoliopsida; Brassicales; Brassicaceae.
UGACUUGGUCAUUUUGGGCACGUC